UACGUAGGGGGCUAGCGUUGUCCGGAAUCAUUGGGCGUAAAGAGCGCGUAGGCGGCCAGAUAAGUCCGGUGUGAAAGUCAAAGGCUCAACCUUUGAAUGCCGCUGGAAACUGGCUGGCUAGAGUCCGGGAGGGGCGAGUGGAAUUCCCAGUGUAGCGGUGAAAUGCGUAGAUAUUGGGAGGAACACCAGUGGCGAAGGCGGCUCACUGGACCGGAACUGACGCUGAGGCGCGAAAGCGUGGGGAGCAAACAGG
This 253-nucleotide ribosomal RNA is filed under the name uncultured bacterium. Its description in RNAcentral is "partial 16S ribosomal RNA". It matches the Rfam family "Bacterial small subunit ribosomal RNA", at positions 524 to 776 of the family's 1533-position model. The record is from RNAcentral.